AUUGAACGCUGGCGGCAGGCUUAACACAUGCAAGUCGAGCGGGGUGAUGGUGCUUGCACUAUCACUUAGCGGCGGACGGGUGAGUAAUGCUUAGGAAUCUGCCUAUCAGUGGGGGACAACAUCUCGAAAGGGAUGCUAAUACCGCAUACGUCCUACGGGAGAAAGCAGGGGAUCACUUAUGACCUUACGCUACUAGAUGAGCCUAAGUCGGAUUAGCUAGUUGGUGGGGUAAAGGCCUACCAAGGCGACGAUCUGUAGCGGGUCUGAGAGGAUGAUCCGCCACACUGGGACUGAGACACGGCCCAGACUCCUACGGGAGGCAGCAGUGGGGAAUAUUGGACAAUGGGGGGAACCCUGAUCCAGCCAUGCCGCGUGUGUGAAGAAGGCCUUAUGGUUGUAAAGCACUUUAAGCGAGGAGGAGGCUCUUUUGGUUAAUACCCAAGAUGAGUGGACGUUACUCGCAGAAUAAGCACCGGCUAACUCUGUGCCAGCAGCCGCCGCAG
RNAcentral lists this ribosomal RNA (503 nucleotides) under uncultured bacterium. Its description in RNAcentral is "partial 16S ribosomal RNA". It matches the Rfam family "Bacterial small subunit ribosomal RNA", at positions 30 to 523 of the family's 1533-position model. The record is from RNAcentral.